UUUCCGUAGGUGAACCUGCGGAAGGAUCAUUACUGAGUGAGGGCCCCUCGGGGUCCAACCUCCCACCCGUGUUUAACGAACCUUGUUGCUUCGGCGGGCCCGCCUCACGGCCGCCGGGGGGCAUCUGCCCCCGGGCCCGCGCCCGCCGAAGCCACCUGUGAACGCUGACUGAAGUAUGCAGUCUGAGACAAUUAUUAAAUUAAUUAAAACUUUCAACAACGGAUCUCUUGGUUCCG
This 236-nucleotide unclassified non-coding RNA is filed under the name plant metagenome. RNAcentral's name for it is "partial contains small subunit ribosomal RNA, internal transcribed spacer 1, and 5.8S ribosomal RNA". The record is from RNAcentral.